AGAGUUUGAUCCUGGCUCAGGAUGAACGCUAGCUACAGGCUUAACACAUGCAAGUCGAGGGGUAGCAGGAUCUAGCAAUAGAUUGCUGACGACCGGCGCACGGGUGAGUAACACGUAUCCAACCUUCCGUUUACUCGGGGAUAGCCUUUCGAAAGAAAGAUUAAUACCCGAUAGUAUGUUUUUCCCGCAUGGGAGAACCAUUAAAGUUUUUCGGUAAUCGAUGGGGAUGCGUUCCAUUAGGCAGUUGGUGAGGUAACGGCUCACCAAACCUUCGAUGGAUAGGGGUUCUGAGAGGAAGGUCCCCCACAUUGGAACUGAGACACGGUCCAAACUCCUACGGGAGGCAGCAGUGAGGAAUAUUGGUCAAUGGACGAGAGUCUGAACCAGCCAAGUAGCGUGAAGGAUGACUGCCCUAUGGGUUGUAAACUUCUUUUAUAUGGGAAUAAAGGAGCCUACGUGUAGGUUUUUGUAUGUACCAUACGAAUAAGGAUCGGCUAACUCCGUGCCAGCAGCCGCGGUAAUACGGAGGAUCCAAGCGUUAUCCGGAUUUAUUGGGUUUAAAGGGAGCGUAGGUGGAGGCUUAAGUCAGUUGUGAAAGUUUGCGGCUCAACCGUAAAAUUGCAGUUGAUACUGGGUUUCUUGAGUACAGUAGAGGUGGGCGGAAUUCGUGGUGUAGCGGUGAAAUGCUUAGAUAUCACGAAGAACUCCAAUUGCGAAGGCAGCUCACUAGACAGGCACUGACACUGAUGCUCGAAAGUGUGGGUAUCAAACAGGAUUAGAUACCCUGGUAGUCCACACAGUAAACGAUGAAUACUCGCUGUUUGCGAUAUACAGUAAGCGGCCAAGCGAAAGCAUUAAGUAUUCCACCUGGGGAGUACGCCGGCAACGGUGAAACUCAAAGGAAUUGACGGGGGCCCGCACAAGCGGAGGAACAUGUGGUUUAAUUCGAUGGUAAGCGAAGAACCUUACCCAGGCUUGACAUCCUUGGAAGGCAUCCGAAAGGAUACUGUACCCUCGGGAACCAAGUGACAGGUGUUGCAUGGCCGUCGUCAGCUCGUGUCGUGAGAUGUUUGGUUAAGUCCAUCAACGAGCGCAACCCUUUUAGUUAGUUGUAUUUUUCUAGCUAUACUGCCCCGGUAACGGGGAGGGAGGAGGGGAUGAUGUCAGGUCAGUAUUACCCUUACGCCUGGGGCUACAAACACGCUACAAUGGCCGGUACAGAGGGCAGCCAACCCGCGAGGGGGAGCAAAUCCCAUCAAAGCCGGUCUCAGUUCGGAUAGCAGGCUGAAACUCGCCUGCUUGAAGCUGGAAUCGCUAGUAAUGGUAGGUCAGCACACUACCGUGAAUACGUUCCCGGGUCUUGUACACACCGCCCGUCAAACCAUGAAAGUCGCCAAUACCUGACGUGUUAGCUUGUCUAGCCCUAAGGUAGGGGAGAUGAUUGGGGUUAAGUCGUAACAAGGUA
RNAcentral lists this ribosomal RNA (1465 nucleotides) under uncultured bacterium. Its description in RNAcentral is "bacterial SSU rRNA". It matches the Rfam family "Bacterial small subunit ribosomal RNA". The record is from RNAcentral.